UUAAAAUAAUAAAAAAAAUAAAAAUAGAUCUCUCUCUCCUAAUUAAACACUCUCGAACAGAUCGAAGAGUGAAGAACGAAAGCUCACAAAACUCGGGUCCUCUCUCUAGAAAUCAGUACUCUUCUGCUAAAAUCUCACCCAAAUCGAAAUCCCUCAAAUCAAAAUGUGAAUGUCAUUUUUCAGGAAUACAAAAAAAAUCACACAGAAAGAAUCGUUUGAAGCCUAUUUGGUGUUGUUAUUGUCGAUUCUCGGUCUUGACAGAAUCUCAACUAUUUCUUUUUGUGGGGACAAGGCACUUAAACAGUGGUAUCGUUCAAGGAUGGUGUCGAGCAAGGAGCAGUUACAAGGCACUUAAUAUUUUGUCUUUUUUGGGAUAUGUAUAUGCGUACAAUUACAAUGCACAAUUGAAGUGUCGGGUAGUAUAUAUGUAAUUGACUUUUUAGUAAUGAUAAUAUUUAUAAUAUUCGGCUUGAGAAAUUC
Long non-coding RNA from Nicotiana tabacum (common tobacco), 480 nucleotides. RefSeq lists it as uncharacterized. The record is from RefSeq and is a predicted model, not a curated record. NCBI's taxonomy places the organism in Eukaryota, Viridiplantae, Streptophyta, Magnoliopsida, Solanales, Solanaceae.